RNAcentral lists this ribosomal RNA (395 nucleotides) under uncultured bacterium. RNAcentral describes it as "bacterial SSU rRNA". It matches the Rfam family "Bacterial small subunit ribosomal RNA", at positions 505 to 898 of the family's 1533-position model. The record is from RNAcentral.
GUGUCAGCAGCCGCGGUAAUACGGAGGGGGCGAGCGUUAUUCGGAAUUAUUGGGCGUAAAGGGCGCGUAGGCGGCCCGGUAAGUCAAAGGUGAAAUCCCUCGGCUCAACUGAGGAACUGCCUUUGAAACUGUCGGGCUUGAGGCCGGGAGGGGGUAGCGGAAUUCCCAGUGUAGCGGUGAAAUGCGUAGAUAUUGGGAGGAACACCAGUGGCGAAGGCGGCUACCUGGACCGGUACUGACGCUGAUGCGCGAAAGCGUGGGUAGCAAACAGGAUUAGAUACCCUGGUAGUCCACGCUGUAAACGAUGGGUGCUCGGUGUCGCGGGUAUCGACCCCUGCGGUGCCUUAGCUAACGCGUUAAGCACCCCGCCUGGGGAGUACGGUCGCAAGGCUGAA